RNA transcript from Heterocephalus glaber (naked mole-rat), 2195 nucleotides. RefSeq lists it as uncharacterized. Lineage: Eukaryota; Metazoa; Chordata; Mammalia; Rodentia; Bathyergidae. The record is from RefSeq and is a predicted model, not a curated record.
UGACGCAAGAGGAAGUCAGCUGCCCAGCCUGGGUUUUCCACGCAGCCUGGGCAGAGGAGGGGUGGAGUGAGCCCCUGGGCGGGAGUCAGAACUCAGGGCCUUCCAGGGACAGACAGAUACUGCAGCCGCCCUGGGCCACACCAGGGCAAAGGGACCCCAGGGAUCUGGGCGGGGAAGAGCUGAGGGUCGGAGGCCGUGAGUGAGGAGAGGAAGCUCACUGAGCAGUCCGUCCCCCCUGAGUGGAUGAGGACCCAGCAGUGGCUUCCAGCCCACGGCCCAGAAAGGGCCCAGCUCUGUCCCUCCAGCUGGACCCUGGUGGGUGUCACUCGGGCCCAUCACUCUGUGACCAGGUGUGGUGGCCGAGGUCAGCUGUCUUGUUCUCAACCAGGGCGGGGCUUCCUGUGCUGUGGCCUGCUCUGACCCUGGCUGCGUGGCUGAGGACUCCCAGGUCACUGGGUGGGGCGUGCGGCCCUGUGUGGUGUCUCGGGACGUCCACGCUGUCUCCGGUUGGGCUGGGGCCUCUCAGGGUGGGCCUGACUCGAGGACGGUCCCUGGCGAUUGGAUGGUGCUGCCCCACACACCUGGCGAGCCUCGGGCUGGGGGUGCCCCAGAACCUGUGGCUGUGCGAUCACAUUCGGGCAGGACUUGGGGCCUGUGGCUGGCUCCACACUGACAGUUGGGUGGCCUGGCCAGGAGGCCUCCCUCUGGGGACUCAUCCUCUUCCCAUGUCGCACGCAGAGCUUCGAGACGUUUCCAUGGCAAUGGAUGGAGGCCUUGGAAGCCGGUGCCCCAGCGAGAGGCAGAUGGGCUCAGGCUGGGCAGGUGCAGCCUAGGGCCUCUCAGCCCCUCGGCUGUGGCUCAGCUUUCUGUGCUCGCCGUGCUGGACGCAGGUGCACAGCGGUGUGGGACAGGCGCGAACCCACCCACUUUCCAGGUGUGAGGGCUGAGGGUCAGAGUGGGUGGGGCGGGUCCCUGGAGUGGACAGGGAGUCAGCGCCCCUUCUGGGCUUCUGGGCGGCGGGCGUCCCUCCCCAGUGCUGCCCUGUGGCGGUGGAGACCCGGGGCCGGGCCAGCAAGGCCGCGUGUGUCUGGGUCAGACUGCGAGACAGAGCCUGACUCAGGGGCAGGAGGCGGGGAGGCCCUGAGGCGCUGGCGUGAACCAGGGCAGCACAGCCAGGCCACGGCCCUCCAGCCAGGCUAACUCGCCACCCUCCUGCCUCAGCCUCCAGAGUGCAGCAAUGGCAGGUGUGCACCACAAGCCCGGGUGUGCAGUGUCGGAGCCCGCCCAUGGUCGGGAGCCGCACCUCGUGCCAUGCACCCCAGGCCUUCUCCCCGAGGUGGCCAGCAGUGGGCAGGCUCGGCUGGGCCGCGAGGGGCGGAUGGAGGGGAGGAACCUGCGGGCCUAGGUGCAGUCGGAGGAUGCAGGUCCACGGGGGCUCCUGAGAGAGCAGGGCAGCCCGGCGGGCGUUGGGCGGCAGAGCCCAGGCAGGUGGCGGGGCGGUGCUCUGGGCUGGGCCUCGGCCCUGGCUCUGCCCCUCCUGGCUCUGUGCCCGGGGGUGGGCCUCUCUCCCAGGCACACUCAUCCUCCUUGGUGCCGGGGCCCCAUCCACAGCUCGGCAGCCACGCGGCCCAGCUCCAAAGGCUGACGGCAGAGGCCACGCACGGGCUGAAGCUCGCGCUGUGCUCGGAGCUCUCGGUGCCUGGGGAGACAGCAGGAGGGGAAGCCAACCCAGCUCACGCUGGACCCCCAGCCGGCCGGGACAAGGGGAGCGACUCGGGGUGACUGGGGUGACCUGCACCCCGAAAUCUCACCGCCGUAAGAUGGAGUUGGGAGUGGAACCGUGCACGCAGCCUGUGCACCCGCAGAAGGGGUUUCGGGAGUUCCCCAAAGACAACAGCAGGUUGAUGGCAGCGGGGAGCGGCACAGAGAUUCUGGGCUUUGUCUUCAUCCAUGCACCUCUGCAUUGUGUGAUGUGUUAAGGAAGGGACAUUGUGAUCCAAGGCCUUGGUCUCACACAGCCUGAAAGAGGGCUGGGCUGGGCCUGGAGGCGGGAGCCCUUGUGCAUGCGCAAGGCCAGGGCUCAGGCCCUGCUCCACCCCCAAGCCAUGAAAGGGGUCGGCGGAAGAUCCUUUGUAUUUUUGUAUAAUGAUGUAUAACAUGUAUUUUUAUAAUGUGAUUUUUUUCUUAAUAAUAAA